AUUGAACGCUGGCGGCAUGCCUUACACAUGCAAGUCGAACGGUAACGGGCCUUCGGGUGCCGACGAGUGGCGAACGGGUGAGUAAUACAUCGGAACGUGCCCGAUCGUGGGGGAUAACGAGGCGAAAGCUUUGCUAAUACCGCAUACGAUCUACGGAUGAAAGCAGGGGACCGCAAGGCCUUGCGCGGACGGAGCGGCCGAUGGCAGAUUAGGUAGUUGGUGGGAUAAAAGCUUACCAAGCCAACGAUCUGUAGCUGGUCUGAGAGGAUGAUCAGCCACACUGGGACUGAGACACGGCCCAGACUCCUACGGGAGGCAGCAGUGGGGAAUUUUGGACAAUGGGCGCAAGCCUGAUCCAGCCAUGCCGCGUGCAGGAUGAAGGCCUUCGGGUUGUAAACUGCUUUUGUACGGAACGAAAAGCCUUCUUUUAAUACAGGAGGGUCAUGACGGUACCGUAAGAAUAAGCACCGGCUAACUACGUG
RNAcentral lists this ribosomal RNA (482 nucleotides) under uncultured bacterium. RNAcentral's name for it is "partial 16S ribosomal RNA". It matches the Rfam family "Bacterial small subunit ribosomal RNA", at positions 30 to 507 of the family's 1533-position model. The record is from RNAcentral.